RNAcentral lists this transfer RNA (76 nucleotides) under Pseudomonadota bacterium. Its description in RNAcentral is "tRNA-Ala". It matches the Rfam family "tRNA". From Rfam's summary of the family: Transfer RNA (tRNA) molecules are approximately 80 nucleotides in length. Their secondary structure includes four short double-helical elements and three loops (D, anti-codon, and T loops). RNAcentral also lists the same sequence under 1 other name. The record is from RNAcentral. Lineage: Bacteria; Pseudomonadati; Pseudomonadota.
GGGGGAUUAGCUCAUCUGGGAGAGCGCCUGAUUUGCAUUCAGGAGGUGGCUGGUUCGAGUCCAGUAUCCUCCACCA